This 497-nucleotide ribosomal RNA is filed under the name uncultured bacterium. Its description in RNAcentral is "partial 16S ribosomal RNA". It matches the Rfam family "Bacterial small subunit ribosomal RNA", at positions 28 to 507 of the family's 1533-position model. The record is from RNAcentral.
GAUGAACGCUGGCGGCGUGCCUAAUACAUGCAAGUCGAGCGAACAGACGAGGAGCUUGCUCCUCUGUCGUUAGCGGCGGACGGGUGAUUAACACGUGGAUAACCUACCUAUAAGACUGGGAUAACUUUGGGAAACCGGAGCUAAUACCGGAUAAUAUAUUGAACCGCAUGGUUCAAUAGUGAAAGACGGUUUUGCUGUCACUUAUAGAUGGAUCCGCGCCGCAUUAGCUAGUUGCUAAGGUAACGGCUUACCAAGGCAACGAUGCGUAGCCGACCUGAGAGGGUGAUCGGCCACACGGGAACUGAGACACGGUCCAGACUCCUACGGGAGGCAGCAGUAGGGAAUCUUCCGCAAUGGGCGAAAGCCUGACGGAGCAACGCCGCGUGAGUGAUGAAGGUCUUCGGAUCGUAAAACUCUGUUAUUAGGGAAGAACAAAUGUGUAAGUAACUAUGCACGUCUUGACGGUACCUAAUCAGAAAGCCACGGCUAACUACGUG